Molecule: ribosomal RNA, 449 nt
Filed under: uncultured bacterium
Lineage: Bacteria
Description: bacterial SSU rRNA
Rfam family: Bacterial small subunit ribosomal RNA
Source: RNAcentral
AACGAACGCUGGCGGCAUGCCUAACACAUGCAAGUCGAACGAAGCCUUCGGGCUUAGUGGCGCACGGGUGCGUAACGCGUGGGAAUCUGCCCUUGGGUUCGGGAUAACAGUUAGAAAUGACUGCUAAUACCGAAUGAUGUCUUCGGACCAAAGAUUUAUCGCCCAAGGAUGAGCCCGCGUCGGAUUAGCUAGUUGGUGAGGUAAAGGCUCACCAAGGCGACGAUCCGUAGCUGGUCUGAGAGGAUGAUCAGCCACACUGGGACUGAGACACGGCCCAGACUCCUACGGGAGGCAGCAGUGGGGAAUAUUGGACAAUGGCGAAAGCCUGAUCCAGCAAUGCCGCGUGAGUGAUGAAGGCCUUAGGGUUGUAAAGCUCUUUUACCCGGGAUGAUAAUGACAGUACCGGGAGAAUAAGCCCCGGCUAACUCCGUGCCAGCAGCCGCGGUAAU